This 23-nucleotide non-coding RNA is filed under the name Arabidopsis thaliana (thale cress). Lineage: Eukaryota; Viridiplantae; Streptophyta; Magnoliopsida; Brassicales; Brassicaceae. The record is from RNAcentral.
UAAGCCUACUUUAAAGGACCUUA